CGAACUCUGGUAUUGAUUGGUGCUUGCAUCAUGAUUUACAUUUGAGUGAGUGGCGAACUGGUGAGUAACACGUGGGAAACCUGCCCAGAAGCGGGGGAUAACACCUGGAAACAGAUGCUAAUACCGCAUAACAACUUGGACCGCAUGGUCCGAGUUUGAAAGAUGGCUUCGGCUAUCACUUUUGGAUGGUCCCGCGGCGUAUUAGCUAGAUGGUGGGGUAACGGCUCACCAUGGCAAUGAUACGUAGCCGACCUGAGAGGGUAAUCGGCCACAUUGGGACUGAGACACGGCCCAAACUCCUACGGGAGGCAGCAGUAGGGAAUCUUCCACAAUGGACGAAAGUCUGAUGGAGCAACGCCGCGUGAGUGAAGAAGGGUUUCGGCUCGUAAAACUCUGUUGUUAAAGAAGAACAUAUCUGAGAGUAACUGUUCAGGUAUUGACGGUAUUUAACCAGAAAGCCACGGCUAACUACGUGCCAGCAGCCGCGGUAAUACGUAGGUGGCAAGCGUUGUCCGGAUUUAUUGGGCGUAAAGCGAGCGCAGGCGGUUUUUUAAGUCUGAUGUGAAAGCCUUCGGCUCAACCGAAGAAGUGCAUCGGAAACUGGGAAACUUGAGUGCAGAAGAGGACAGUGGAACUCCAUGUGUAGCGGUGAAAUGCGUAGAUAUAUGGAAGAACACCAGUGGCGAAGGCGGCUGUCUGGUCUGUAACUGACGCUGAGGCUCGAAAGUAUGGGUAGCAAACAGGAUUAGAUACCCUGGUAGUCCAUACCGUAAACGAUGAAUGCUAAGUGUUGGAGGGUUUCCGCCCUUCAGUGCUGCAGCUAACGCAUUAAGCAUUCCGCCUGGGGAGUACGGCCGCAAGGCUGAAACUCAAAGGAAUUGACGGGGGCCCGCACAAGCGGUGGAGCAUGUGGUUUAAUUCGAAGCUACGCGAAGAACCUUACCAGGUCUUGACAUACUAUGCAAAUCUAAGAGAUUAGACGUUCCCUUCGGGGACAUGGAUACAGGUGGUGCAUGGUUGUCGUCAGCUCGUGUCGUGAGAUGUUGGGUUAAGUCCCGCAACGAGCGCAACCCUUAUUAUCAGUUGCCAGCAUUAAGUUGGGCACUCUGGUGAGACUGCCGGUGACAAACCGGAGGAAGGUGGGGAUGACGUCAAAUCAUCAUGCCCCUUAUGACCUGGGCUACACACGUGCUACAAUGGAUGGUACAACGAGUUGCGAACUCGCGAGAGUAAGCUAAUCUCUUAAAGCCAUUCUCAGUUCGGAUUGUAGGCUGCAACUCGCCUACAUGAAGUCGGAAUCGCUAGUAAUCGCGGAUCAGCAUGCCGCGGUGAAUACGUUCCCGGGCCUUGUACACACCGCCCGUCACACCAUGAGAGUUUGUAACACCCAAAGUCGGUGGGGUAAC
Molecule: ribosomal RNA, 1406 nt
Filed under: Lactiplantibacillus plantarum subsp. plantarum
Lineage: Bacteria; Bacillati; Bacillota; Bacilli; Lactobacillales; Lactobacillaceae
Description: bacterial SSU rRNA
Rfam family: Bacterial small subunit ribosomal RNA
Source: RNAcentral